CGGACGGGGGAGUAAUGUCUGGGAAACUGCCCGAUGGAGGGGGAUAACUACUGGAAACGGUAGCUAAUACCGCAUAACGUCGCAAGAUCAAAGAGGGGGACCUUAGGGCCUCUUGCCAUCGGAUGUGCCCAGACGGGAUUAGCUAGUAGGUGGGGUAACGGCUCACCUAGGCGACGAUCCCUAGCUGGUCUGAGAGGAUGACCAGCCACACUGGAACUGAGACACGGUCCAG
Molecule: ribosomal RNA, 232 nt
Filed under: uncultured bacterium
Lineage: Bacteria
Description: partial 16S ribosomal RNA
Rfam family: Bacterial small subunit ribosomal RNA
Source: RNAcentral